UACGUAGGUGGCAAGCGUUGUUCGGAAUCACUGGGCGUAAAGCGCGUGUAGGCGGCUCUUCAAGUCAGGCGUGAAAGCCCCGGGCUUAACUCGGGAACUGCGCUUGAUACUGUCGAGCUAGAGUGUGGAAGGGGCGAUUGGAAUUCCGUGUGUAGCGGUGAAAUGCGUAGAUAUACGGAGGAACACCAGAGGCGAAGGCGGAUCGCUGGGCCAACACUGACGCUGAGACGCGAAAGCCAGGGGAGCAAACGGG
Molecule: ribosomal RNA, 253 nt
Filed under: uncultured bacterium
Lineage: Bacteria
Description: partial 16S ribosomal RNA
Rfam family: Bacterial small subunit ribosomal RNA
Source: RNAcentral